This 253-nucleotide ribosomal RNA is filed under the name uncultured bacterium. Its description in RNAcentral is "partial 16S ribosomal RNA". It matches the Rfam family "Bacterial small subunit ribosomal RNA", at positions 524 to 776 of the family's 1533-position model. The record is from RNAcentral.
UACGUAGGGGGCAAGCGUUGUCCGGAAUCAUUGGGCGUAAAGAGCGUGUAGGCGGCCCGGUAAGUCCGCUGUGAAAGUCGGGGGCUCAACCCUCGAAUGCCGGUGGAUACUGUCGGGCUAGAGUGCGGAAGAGGCGAGUGGAAUUCCUGGUGUAGCGGUGAAAUGCGCAGAUAUCAGGAGGAACACCAGUGGCGAAGGCGGUGCUCUGGGCCGGAACUGACGCUGAGGAGCGAAAGCGUGGGGAGCAAACAGG